RNAcentral lists this long non-coding RNA (851 nucleotides) under Volvox carteri. RNAcentral describes it as "long non-coding RNA (VCAR_LNC003201)". Lineage: Eukaryota; Viridiplantae; Chlorophyta; Chlorophyceae; Chlamydomonadales; Volvocaceae. The record is from RNAcentral.
GGAGACCUACUUAUGGCAUCCCAUGGAUUAUGCGGCAUGUAUCCGCAUCAUUUGUUCUGUGUAAUAGAAUUAUUUUAAAAGAAAAAUCUCGAAGAGCUAUCCUGUUGGUAUUUCAUGGCUGGACUUCCAGUGCUCCAUCCGUACCCAGUGCGGGGCCCGCCCGUCGCCUGCGUAGCUUCGCAAAAUUUCGCAAACAUUCCUCGUUCACCGGCAGGCGCCCUAAGUGCUACAAAGGUCGUAACACAUCCAGCUUCAGAAAAAUAGCAUGUAGACGUGUUGUUGGACUGCCACUGAACAAAAUCUUAAACAAACGGACCUUCGUCCAACUCUCGACCAUCAGAAACUGUCAUGUCGCGAAGGCGCUUGUCUCAAUAACCACUUGUUAGCACGUGUCAUUAGCUCACUGUUAAUAAAUCAUUCUCAUUUCGCUUCCUACCACCUUUCAACUAUACCACGUCUGCCACCGCCGCGGCCAUGGAGCCAGCAGUGGAAUUAUUUACCCGCUUAUUUACGGCCGCGCUGGCAGCGAUUACGAAUUGGCGACAGAAUCAGAAUGUGGCGAAGAUGCUCGUCUUCAAGCUUGCCUGCUUCAUUGCCUCCCUUCCUUCACAUCCACGGGUGAAACUCGUCUUCCAAGGGCAUCACGGUCUGGCACCAGUCGAUGCGUCCCCAACAAGCAUAUAUGAUAUGGAAUUCAAAGAUGGCAACGGCAAAGUAAGGACGCUGCUCGUCUUUUUGCUGUCAUGAAGCCCGUGACGGGAGACACCUUCCAGGCCUCCUCAAUCACAGCUUCCUGUGAGGGAAGAUUCAACCCGCGGAUCUCGUUGAGGACGUACAAUCUGCCGCCGUCG